GAAGGAUCCCCCAGGGCCUGUUCAUUGUAUUUAAUGCUAAUGAUUUCAUCAUUCCCUGGACAUACAGCAAAUGCUGCCCUUUGUCACUGGGACAAACUGGACCUCGUCACAGGUCCUUGGAGGGGCAUACUUGCCAGCCUCCUACCCUGUGACUAUGGCCCCUGUGUUAAACCCUAUUGGAAAACACUAUUUGUGUCUCUUGGACUGGUAACAGGAACCAUUAGAACUUUCGAAAGCCAUUCGAACACGUGGUGGCGGCCAUCUUGUUAGCAUGGACCAAAACCGCGAAUAGACUUCAGGGGGACUUAGCCGCGAAUGCCCUGGAACUAUUUUCGGCUAUGGGACCAUGCCUGCAGUCAGUAAUAUCUAUGACUUCCAUAAAAUUUCUGAACCCCUGAACUGAUCUGGGUGAUUUGUGGAUAUGUUGGUCACCCAGAUCAGGGCUAUCAGGGGAUGUAACAUUUGUGGGGAUACUAUG
Molecule: non-coding RNA, 478 nt
Organism: Pelobates cultripes (western spadefoot toad)
Lineage: Eukaryota; Metazoa; Chordata; Amphibia; Anura; Pelobatidae
Source: the annotation of a GenBank genome assembly